UACGUAGGGUGCGAGCGUUGUCCGGAAUUAUUGGGCGUAAAGAGCUUGUAGGCGGUCUGUCGCGUCUGCUGUGAAAAUCCGGGGCUCAACCCCGGACUUGCAGUGGGUACGGGCAGACUAGAGUGUGGUAGGGGAGACUGGAAUUCCUGGUGUAGCGGUGAAAUGCGCAGAUAUCAGGAAGAACACCUAUGGCGAAGGCAGCUCUCUGGGACGGUACUGACGCUGAGACGCGAAAGCGUGGGGAGCGAACAGG
This 253-nucleotide ribosomal RNA is filed under the name uncultured bacterium. RNAcentral's name for it is "partial 16S ribosomal RNA". It matches the Rfam family "Bacterial small subunit ribosomal RNA", at positions 524 to 776 of the family's 1533-position model. The record is from RNAcentral.